AAACCAGCUGAAUACAGCUAGGGAGCUAAUUUAAAACCCAUUUUUUUUCUGUUUCCUGGCCUUUCUAGUCUUAAAAAUUUAAGUGGGCUUUGCUCAAGGAAGAUAGCACAUGGUCCUAGCGGUUUUAGCCUGAGGACUAAAGAAGAUUGCUGGGACCCACCCAUACCCACUUUGUAAAAGAAGGAGGUUUAGUUUGGCCUUUUGUUUACGGUCUAUUCACUCCUAAUCAGCCCUUUCAUAGCUUCUACCUUCCUGUAUGAGGGUUUUUGUAACCCCUCCCAGAAGCUUGAUAAGGAGAAUUUACAACACAAUAGGCCCUUAACCUGUAUUGGGUUGUAGACAAGAAGAAAAAAAAAAAGGUACAGGCAACCUAGCAAUUGACUCAAAGAAAGAAAAAAUGUGGCUACAACCAAUGUCUGCUUUGCUUCGAAAUUGGCUUAUAAGUUUAAUGACCAAGUGCAUUGGAUUUUUAGUAGGUGUUCCUCUAGGAUGGUAUUUUUCAGAAACUAUAAACCUCAUCGUGACCAUUAUAUUCAUCUUCCUUGGGAUUGUAAUUGUUGUACUUACAAUGAUAUACCUAACCUCUAAGAGAGAACACUCCCUUGUUCCUUCUAUUACUAAACAAAUUAAGGAAUUACACACUUUUAUGGAAAACCAAAUCACGGAGCAAUAUAAUAUCACUGAUCAACGUAUUAGGGAACUCCACACUUUUAUUGGGGAGCAACUUCAGGAACAGAAUAAUAUUUUUACUCAAAAAGUUAGGGAACAGAAUAUUAUAACUGAUCAGAGAAUUACAGAAUUGCACACAUUUAUUGAUCAGCAACAUAAAGAAUUGAUUACUAUCACUGAUCAAAGAAUUCGGAACCAAAAUGCUUGUAUUGAACAAAUUAAAAAAGAAAUUACUCUUAUUUAUCAACAAUUGAUGGAACGGGAUGAAGUUAGGGAGGAAACAUGGCGAGAGAUAAAAACUUCCCUGGCUGAACUUAAUCAGGGACGAUGGGGAGAGAUAAAAACUUCCCUGGAUGAAAUUAAACAGGACAAAUGGGGAGAGAUAAGAACCUUCCUGCAAAACAUUGAUAGGGAGUUAAAAACAUCCCACAAUAGGAGUGAUUUAACUCUCCAUCCCCCAUCAUUAUCAGACUCCCUGACCAACCCUGCCCAAAACGAUUUGGCUCAAAUAGAAGCCCCUUCACACCAACCAGCUCCUCCCCAUCCUGACCACCCAGCCCCUCCCCCUGCCAUUCUUGCCCCUCCCACCCUGGUUCCUCCUUCCAUUCAUGCCUCUUACCCUGCCUCCUCAGCCCCGGAUCCUCCCCCUGCCCUUCCCCCCACCCAUGCUCAUGCUCCAGCCCCACCCCCUGUUCCUGCCCCAGCCCUUCCCCCUCCCCUCCCCUCCACUCUUGCUCUAAU
Molecule: long non-coding RNA, 1410 nt
Filed under: Monodelphis domestica (gray short-tailed opossum)
Lineage: Eukaryota; Metazoa; Chordata; Mammalia; Didelphimorphia; Didelphidae
Description: lncRNA (ENSMODG00000028673.2)
Source: RNAcentral